UGGGGAAUUUUGGACAAUGGGCGAAAGCCUGAUCCAGCAAUGCCGCGUGAGUGAAGAAGGCCUUCGGGUUGUAAAGCUCUUUUGUCAGGGAAGAAACGGUGAGAGCUAAUAUCUCUUGCUAAUGACGGUACCUGAAGAAUAAGCACCGGCUAACUACGUGCCAGCAGCCGCGGUAAUACGUAGGGUGCAAGCGUUAAUCGGAAUUACUGGGCGUAAAGCGUGCGCAGGCGGUUUUGUAAGUCUGAUGUGAAAUCCCCGGGGCUCAACCUGGGAAUUGCAUUGGAGACUGCAAGGCUAGAAUCUGGCAGAGGGGGGUAGAAUUCCACGUGUAGCAGUGAAAUGCGUAGAUAUGUGGAGGAACACCGAUGGCGAAGGCAGCCCCCUGGGUCAAGAUUGACGCUCAUGCACGAAAGCGUGGGGAGCAAACAGGAUUAGAUACCUAGGUAGUCCCUGAGCGGGCUGGCAAGGCGCAU
This 473-nucleotide ribosomal RNA is filed under the name uncultured bacterium. RNAcentral describes it as "bacterial SSU rRNA". It matches the Rfam family "Bacterial small subunit ribosomal RNA", at positions 355 to 825 of the family's 1533-position model. The record is from RNAcentral.